This 464-nucleotide ribosomal RNA is filed under the name uncultured Klebsiella sp. RNAcentral's name for it is "bacterial SSU rRNA". It matches the Rfam family "Bacterial small subunit ribosomal RNA", at positions 338 to 795 of the family's 1533-position model. Lineage: Bacteria; Pseudomonadati; Pseudomonadota; Gammaproteobacteria; Enterobacterales; Enterobacteriaceae. The record is from RNAcentral.
CCUACGGGUGGCAGCAGUGGGGAAUAUUGCACAAUGGGCGCAAGCCUGAUGCAGCCAUGCCGCGUGUGUGAAGAAGGCCUUCGGGUUGUAAAGCACUUUCAGCGGGGAGGAAGGCGGUGAGGUUAAUAACCUCAUCGAUUGACGUUACCCGCAGAAGAAGCACCGGCUAACUCCGUGCCAGCAGCCGCGGUAAUACGGAGGGUGCAAGCGUUAAUCGGAAUUACUGGGCGGAAAGCGCACGCAGGCGGUCUGUCAAGUCGGAUGUGAAAUCCCCGGGCUCAACCUGGGAACUGCAUUCGAAACUGGCAGGCUAGAGUCUUGUAGAGGGGGGGAGAAUUCCAGGUGUAGCGGUGAAAUGCGUAGAGAUCUGAGGAAUACCGGUGGCGAAGGCGGCCCCCUGGACAAAGACUGACGCUCAGGUGCGAAAGCGUGGGGAGCAAACAGGAUUAGAUACCCUUGUAGUC